GAGUUUGAUCUUGGCUCAGAUUGAACGCUGGCGGCAGGCCUAACACAUGCAAGUCGAGCGGAUGAAGGGAGCUUGCUCCUGGAUUCAGCGGCGGACGGGUGAGUAGUGCCUAGGAAUCUGCCUGGUAGUGGGGGAUAACGUCCGGAAACGGGCGCUAAUACCGCAUACGUCCUGAGGGAGAAAGUGGGGGAUCUUCGGACCUCACGCUAUCAGAUGAGCCUAGGUCGGAUUAGCUAGUUGGUGGGGUAAAGGCCUACCAAGGCGACGAUCCGUAACUGGUCUGAGAGGAUGAUCAGUCACGCUGGAACUGAGACACGGUCCAGACUCCUACGGGAGGCAGCAGUGGGGAAUAUUGGACAAUGGGCGAAAGCCUGAUCCAGCCAUGCCGCGUGUGUGAAGAAGGUCUUCGGAUUGUAAAGCACUUUAAGUUGGGAGGAAGGGCAGUAGUUAAUACCUUGCUGUUUUGACGUUACCAACAGAAUAAGCACCGGCUAACUUCGUGCCAGCCGCCGCGGUAACACCG
Molecule: ribosomal RNA, 523 nt
Filed under: uncultured microorganism
Description: bacterial SSU rRNA
Rfam family: Bacterial small subunit ribosomal RNA
Source: RNAcentral